AGGCGAACCGGGGGAACUGAAACAUCUAAGUACCCCGAGGAAAAGAAAUCAACCGAGAUUCCCCCAGUAGCGGCGAGCGAACGGGGAGGAGCCCAGAGCCUGAAUCAGCAUGUGUGUUAGUGGAAGCGUCUGGAAAGGCGCGCGAUACAGGGUGACAGCCCCGUACACAAAAGCGCAUGUGCUGUGAGCUCGAUGAGUAGGGCGGGACACGUGGUAUCCUGUCUGAAUAUGGGGGGACCAUCCUCCAAGGCUAAAUACUCCUGACUGACCGAUAGUGAACCAGUACCGUGAGGGAAAGGCGAAAAGAACCCCGGCGAGGGGAGUGAAAAAGAACCUGAAACCGUGUACGUACAAGCAGUGGGAGCACAGGUUUACCUGUGUGACUGCGUACCUUUUGUAUAAUGGGUCAGCGACUUAUAUUCUGU
RNAcentral lists this ribosomal RNA (425 nucleotides) under Salmonella enterica subsp. enterica serovar Kisangani. RNAcentral describes it as "partial 23S ribosomal RNA". It matches the Rfam family "Bacterial large subunit ribosomal RNA", at positions 177 to 638 of the family's 2925-position model. The record is from RNAcentral. Lineage: Bacteria; Pseudomonadati; Pseudomonadota; Gammaproteobacteria; Enterobacterales; Enterobacteriaceae.